AGGUGGCUUGUCUCCCUUGCCCUUAGGAGGCUGAUCAACUGGCUUGGGCUCUGGCUUGGGCUCUGGGAAUGGCUUGUGCUCAUCAAGUGGGGUUGGUGGCUUGGGUUUUGUGGGUGGCUUCGGCUUCUUUCCCUGAGGAGGCAAUUUCCCAUCCAAUGGCUCCUCUAGCAAACGAGUUCUGGUUUCUUGUUUGUGAUGAGGCGGUUUCUCACCCUUUGGAGGCUGAUCAACUGGCUUUGGUUCUGGCUUGGGCUCUGGCUUGGGCUCUGGGAAUGGCUUGUGCUCAUCAAGUGGGGUUGGUGGCUUGGGUUUUGUGGGUGGCUCCGGCUUCUUUCCCUGAGGAGGCAAUUUCCCAUCCAAUGGCUCCUCUAGCAAACGAGUUCUGGUUUCUUGUAUGUGAUGAGGCGGCUUCUCACCCUUUGGAGGCUGAUCAACUGGCUUUGGUUCUGGCUUGGGCUCGGGCUUGGGCUCUGGCUUGGGCUCUGGGAAUGGCUUGUGCUCAUCAAGUGGGGUUGGUGGCUUGGGUUUUGUGGGUGGCUUCGGCUUCUUUCCCUGAGGAGGCAAUUUCCCAUCCAAUGGCUCCUCUAGCAAACGAGUUCUGGUUUCUUGUUUGUGAUGAGGCGGCUUCUCACCCUUUGGAGGCUCGUCGUUGCCCGGGUUUCCUUUGUGCUCUGGUGGUGGCUUCUCUCCUUUUCUUGGUGGCUCAUCUCUUGGGUGUCCUGGUUCAUGCUCAGGUGGUGGUUUCUCUCCUUUUCUCGGUGGCUCAUCUCCCGGGUGCUCAGGUGGUGGCUUCUCAUCCUUGUGAGGCUCAUCACCUGGUUUCUCCUUUGGUGGUGGCUUUUGUCCCUUAGGAGGCUCAUUGUUCUCUGGUGGAGGCUUUUUUCCCUUUGGAGGCUCAUUGUUCUCUGGUGGAGGCUUCUUUCCCUUUGGAG
Molecule: long non-coding RNA, 932 nt
Filed under: Prunus persica (peach)
Lineage: Eukaryota; Viridiplantae; Streptophyta; Magnoliopsida; Rosales; Rosaceae
Description: long non-coding RNA (PPER_LNC000100)
Source: RNAcentral